RNAcentral lists this ribosomal RNA (124 nucleotides) under uncultured bacterium. Its description in RNAcentral is "partial 16S ribosomal RNA". The record is from RNAcentral.
AGCCGGGGUUUCUUUACCAGGUACUGUCAUUAUCAUCCCUGGCGAAAGUGCUUUACGACCCUAGGGCCUUCAUCACACACGCGGCAUGGCUAGAUCAGGCUUGCGCCCAUUGUCUAAGAUUCCC